RNAcentral lists this unclassified non-coding RNA (1596 nucleotides) under Hevea brasiliensis (rubber tree). The record is from RNAcentral. Lineage: Eukaryota; Viridiplantae; Streptophyta; Magnoliopsida; Malpighiales; Euphorbiaceae.
UGCUGGGGAAAAAAAAAAUCAUUGUUUAGCAUUCAAUUCCCUUGACAAGAAAACAAAUGCCUUCUUAAAUGAUCAUCUCAGUAGUCGAAAUGCCAAAGAGGGAGAAACAGGUCCUAUCUACAUACAUUUGGCAGUAAACUCACAACAGGUAGAAAUUGUAAGAUGCCAUCACAUAAUUGCUUCACAGGAUAUUAAUAAUCUCUUACAACUGAGGGGACUCACUCACUCGAGAAUCAGAUUCCCACAAAUGAAAGAAUUAACAUAUAUGUUAUAUCACAUGAACAGUCGCACCAUGUCGGGUCGAUGUAUGAUUUGAUAAAACAUGCCUGCCUCCAGUUUGUGUAGAUUCUCAAAUCUCCUUUGUGGUUAACCAAUUUUCUAAAUGAUAGUAGCACAUUCUUUGAUGAAACAUCAGCAAAUUCCCACCAUUUUAAGAGUAAUCACAGUAUAUUUUCUAUUUGAAUUCUCAGAAACUGGAAGCAAAUCAAAUCAAACACCUGCACAAAUAGCUCCUGAUGACCAAGAUGAGCAGCAAAGCUUCCCUUCAUCUACAUGUUUGACGUCAAGCCCAAUAAACCAGGAUCCAGCACUCACAUCAUCAUGUGCAUAGGUGCGAAGAAGAGAUCUGUUUAUGGAUACAAAUUUAGCUAAAGCUCGUGAUAUGACAUACAUCUCACCUGAAGCAUGGCGAAAGUACGAUUUCUUAUCUCCAAACUUCCACCAAUCUGGUUCAUACCAUUUAUGACUAAGUUCAGAGAAAACUUCGCCUGAUUUCAUACAACCAAUAUAAACACGAGGCUUGUCCAAUUGAGUUGCCAGUGUAGCUCCAAGAGCAUCAAUAUUAACAUAUAUAUUGUCAUUGACUUUAGCAUAGAACUCAGCAUCCCAUUUAUCCACAGCAUGAGCAAAAAAUAGUUUAGCCUUAUUUGGAAAUCCCUCAUUUGCCUCCACAUGGUUAUCGAGAAUUAAGAAGUCAUUAGCAUGCUUAUUUUCAUUGUCAAUUUCCCUGUCCAAAUUGUCCCCACGAUUUGCACUUCUUCCAAUGACAAAACGUGAAACUAUGCCUUUCUCAUUCUCCAUUUUCUUCAAGGUUAUACCAGUUCCCAUCCAUGCUUUACGGAUUGCAUUCCUAUUGUUCAUUCUGCCAAACCUUGUCAGUAUUCCUAUCACUACUAGAUGUCUUUUCUUUGAAUUUGUCCCAUCAUUCUGUGACAAGAAGUUUGAAGUAAAACCCUCCUGUUUAGCUGUAGCCAAUUCCAUCUCAAGGGCUGAUAACUUUUUCUGUUGCUCCCUGCAGGCUAUUAUUUUCAAUGUAUCAUCCACAGAUAUAGCAGAUUGUCCCUGUCCAGUUAUCCUGUCGAGCUCUUUAAUCAAAUAAACCCUGUUCUCCGAAUCUUGCCAUAACCUGCCAGCGACAUAAAUGGAAGCGAAAGUAGCGAACAUUGAGAACAAUAAAGUUGAUAUUCUUGAUCCAUACACUCUGCUAUUCGAUCCUUGACUACCUCUGGUAUGCAUCUUUUUAACUCUUUAUCACUAGAUCUUCAAUCCCUUCUCAAUGGAUUCAACGGGACUAUCAAAAUCGGAUAAACAGAACCC